Molecule: ribosomal RNA, 477 nt
Filed under: uncultured bacterium
Lineage: Bacteria
Description: bacterial SSU rRNA
Rfam family: Bacterial small subunit ribosomal RNA
Source: RNAcentral
AUUGAACGCUGGCGGCAUGCCUUACACAUGCAAGUCGAACGGUAACGGGUUAAGCCGACGAGUGGCGAACGGGUGAGUAAUAUAUCGGAACGUGCCCAGUCAUGGGGGAUAACGUAGAGAAAUUUACGCUAAUACCGCAUACGAUCCAAGGAUGAAAGCGGGGGACCUUCGGGCCUCGUGCGACUGGAGCGGCUGAUAUCAGAUUAGGUUGUUGGUGAGGUAAAAGCUCACCAAGCCGACGAUCUGUAGCUGGUUUGAGAGAACGACCAGCCACACUGGGACUGAGACACGGCCCAGACUCCUACGGGAGGCAGCAGUGGGGAAUUUUGGACAAUGGGCGAAAGCCUGAUCCAGCAAUGCCGCGUGCAGGAAGAAGGCCUUCGGGUUGUAAACUGCUUUUGUACGGAACGAAAAGGUCUGCCCUAAUACGGCGGGCUCAUGACGGUACCGUAAGAAUAAGCACCGGCUAACUACGUG